GACGAACGCUGGCGGCGUGCUUAACACAUGCAAGUCGAACGGCAAGGCCCUGCUUUUGUGGUGUUCUCGAGUGGCGAACGGGUGAGUAACCCGUGAGUAACCUGCCCUUGACUUUCGUAUAACUUCAGGAAACUGGGGCUAAUACCGGAUAGGAGCUCCUGCUGCAUGGUGGGGGUUGGAAAGUUUCGGCGGUUGGGGAUGGACUCGCGGCUUAUCAGCUUGUUGGUGGGGUAGUGGCUUACCAAGGCUUUGAAGGGUAGCCGGCCUGAGAGGGUGACCGGCCACAAUGGGACUGAGAUACGGACCAGACUCCUACGGGAGGCAGCAGUGGGGAAUAUUGCACAAUGGGCGGAAGCCUGAUGCAGCAACGCCGCGUGCGGGAUGACGGCCUUCGGGUUGUAAACCGCUUUAGCCUGUGACGAAGCGUGAGUGACGGUAAUGGGUAAAGAAGCACCGGCUAACUACGUG
Molecule: ribosomal RNA, 468 nt
Filed under: uncultured bacterium
Lineage: Bacteria
Description: partial 16S ribosomal RNA
Rfam family: Bacterial small subunit ribosomal RNA
Source: RNAcentral